Molecule: ribosomal RNA, 253 nt
Filed under: uncultured bacterium
Lineage: Bacteria
Description: partial 16S ribosomal RNA
Rfam family: Bacterial small subunit ribosomal RNA
Source: RNAcentral
UACGAAGGGUGCAAGCGUUACUCGGAAUUACUGGGCGUAAAGCGUGCGUAGGUGGUUUGUUAAGUCUGAUGUGAAAUCCCCGGGCUCAACCUGGGAAUGGCAUUGGAUACUGGCAGGCUAGAGUGCGGUAGAGGGUGGUGGAAUUCCCGGUGUAGCAGUGAAAUGCGUAGAGAUCGGGAGGAACAUCUGUGGCGAAGGCGGCCAUCUGGACCAGCACUGACACUGAGGCACGAAAGCGUGGGGAGCAAACAGG